AGAGUUUGAUCCUGGCUCAGGAUGAACGCUAGCUACAGGCUUAACACAUGCAAGUCGAGGGGCAGCAUGGUCUUAGCUUGCUAAGACUGAUGGCGACCGGCGCACGGGUGAGUAACACGUAUCCAACCUGCCGUCUACUCUUGGACAGCCUUCUGAAAGGAAAAUUAAUACAAGAUGGCAUCAUGAGUCCGCAUGUUCACAUGAUUAAAGGUAUUCCGGUAGACGAUGGGGAUGCGUUCCAUUAGAUAGUAGGCGGGGUAACGGCCCACCUAGUCUUCGAUGGAUAGGGGUUCUGAGAGGAAGGUCCCCCACAUUGGAACUGAGACACGGUCCAAACUCCUACGGGAGGCAGCAGUGAGGAAUAUUGGUCAAUGGGCGAGAGCCUGAACCAGCCAAGUAGCGUGAAGGAUGACUGCCCUAUGGGUUGUAAACUUCUUUUAUAAAGGAAUAAAGUCGGGUAUGCAUACCCGUUUGCAUGUACUUUAUGAAUAAGGAUCGGCUAACUCCGUGCCAGCAGCCGCGGUAAUACGGAGGAUCCGAGCGUUAUCCGGAUUUAUUGGGUUUAAAGGGAGCGUAGAUGGAUGUUUAAGUCAGUUGUGAAAGUUUGCGGCUCAACCGUAAAAUUGCAGUUGAUACUGGAUAUCUUGAGUGCAGUUGAGGCAGGCGGAAUUCGUGGUGUAGCGGUGAAAUGCUUAGAUAUCACGAAGAACUCCGAUUGCGAAGGCAGCCUGCUAAGCUGCAACUGACAUUGAGGCUCGAAAGUGUGGGUAUCAAACAGGAUUAGAUACCCUGGUAGUCCACACGGUAAACGAUGAAUACUCGCUGUUUGCGAUAUACGGCAAGCGGCCAAGCGAAAGCGUUAAGUAUUCCACCUGGGGAGUACGCCGGCAACGGUGAAACUCAAAGGAAUUGACGGGGGCCCGCACAAGCGGAGGAACAUGUGGUUUAAUUCGAUGAUACGCGAGGAACCUUACCCGGGCUUAAAUUGCAGAUGAAUUACGGUGAAAGCCGUAAGCCGCAAGGCAUCUGUGAAGGUGCUGCAUGGUUGUCGUCAGCUCGUGCCGUGAGGUGUCGGCUUAAGUGCCAUAACGAGCGCAACCCUUGUUGUCAGUUACUAACAGGUUCUGCUGAGGACUCUGACAAGACUGCCAUCGUAAGAUGUGAGGAAGGUGGGGAUGACGUCAAAUCAGCACGGCCCUUACGUCCGGGGCUACACACGUGUUACAAUGGGGGGUACAGAGGGCCGCUACCACGCGAGUGGAUGCCAAUCCCCAAAACCUCUCUCAGUUCGGACUGGAGUCUGCAACCCGACUCCACGAAGCUGGAUUCGCUAGUAAUCGCGCAUCAGCCACGGCGCGGUGAAUACGUUCCCGGGCCUUGUACACACCGCCCGUCAAGCCAUGGGAGCCGGGGGUACCUGAAGUGCGUAACCGCGAGGAGCGCCCUAGGGUAAAACUGGUGACUGGGGCUAAGUCGCAACAAGGUA
This 1486-nucleotide ribosomal RNA is filed under the name metagenome. RNAcentral's name for it is "bacterial SSU rRNA". It matches the Rfam family "Bacterial small subunit ribosomal RNA". The record is from RNAcentral.